UGCCAGCAGCCGCGGUAAUACGAAGGUGGCGAGCGUUGUUCGGAUUUACUGGGCAUAAAGGGCGUGUAGGCGGUCUAGUAAGCGGAAUGUGAAAGCCCGGGGCUCAACCCCGGAACUGCGUUCCGAACUGCUGGACUAGAGGACAGGAGGGGGAUCGGGAACUCUAGGUGGAGCGGUGAAAUGCGUAGAUAUCUAGAGGAACGCCGGUGGCGAAAGCGCGAUCCUGGCCUGUCCCUGACGCUGAGGCGCGAAAGCGUGGGUAGCAAACAGGAUUAGAUA
RNAcentral lists this ribosomal RNA (279 nucleotides) under uncultured bacterium. Its description in RNAcentral is "partial 16S ribosomal RNA". It matches the Rfam family "Bacterial small subunit ribosomal RNA", at positions 506 to 784 of the family's 1533-position model. The record is from RNAcentral.